RNAcentral lists this ribosomal RNA (138 nucleotides) under Candidatus Mycoplasma haematominutum. Its description in RNAcentral is "Candidatus Mycoplasma haemominutum partial 16S ribosomal RNA". It matches the Rfam family "Bacterial small subunit ribosomal RNA", at positions 430 to 561 of the family's 1533-position model. The record is from RNAcentral. Lineage: Bacteria; Bacillati; Mycoplasmatota; Mollicutes; Mycoplasmatales; Mycoplasmataceae.
GUUCUUUUAUUUAGGAAAAAAAGCUUGAUAGGAAAUGAUUAAGCCUUGAUUGUACUAAAUGAAUAAGUGACAGCUAACUAUGUGCCAGCAGCUGCGGUAAAACAUAGGUCACGAGCAUUAUCCGGAUUUAUUGGGCGU